ACGAGAUUCGUGAUAGAGGAUGCCUUUGCGGCCUGUGUUCGUUUGUGAUGGACUAGUUGGAGCACCCCUGCAGGGUUUAAUCUUUCGGAAAGCCGUGCCCGCGGUUAUGUGGCAACUUGGAAUAUUUUGUUAACAUCCGGUAUUAGAGAACUUAAACAUAAACUCAUAAAAUAUGCCAACUGUGUGCGUAACCGUGACUGCCCCUUCGAAGAUCUCUCUUCGACCGGGGACACGGUGGGGUUAUGAUUGCCGUAGGUAGGUGUUCAGGAUCACUUUCUGAUCAAGUAUUCCCGAUCGUUAGCAUAGACCACUGUCAUUUCUCCUUUGCGUAAGCUAGCCACUUAUUCAAUCUUAGGAUGCAGCAGCCUGAAACACUUCACCCCUUCCUUACCCAAUAACAUGACUAGUUCUGGCACCAAGGUCUAGAUUGCUGAGUCUCCGUGGCUCACGGAUUCCUCCGAAACUCCCAGCAGGUACAAGUACCCCAGAGACAGAUGUUCCCGACGGCACCCAGCUGGCGUGGCAGUACGACGAGGAGACAGAUCGCCUUUACGUGAACUAUCCAGAGGACUGAGCCGUGGUCGUGAUCGUGGGCCUGCAGCGGGUAGCAUAGCAUUUUCCUGGUUUUGUAGUCCGUACCGGAACUACCUUGUUUGUAUCUGCGUUGUACUCUAUAUUAUUAAUAAGAAGACAGUUGAAUCC
This 702-nucleotide long non-coding RNA is filed under the name Hordeum vulgare. RNAcentral's name for it is "long non-coding RNA (HVUL_LNC015929)". Lineage: Eukaryota; Viridiplantae; Streptophyta; Magnoliopsida; Poales; Poaceae. The record is from RNAcentral.